Molecule: non-coding RNA, 665 nt
Organism: Manis javanica (Malayan pangolin)
Lineage: Eukaryota; Metazoa; Chordata; Mammalia; Pholidota; Manidae
Source: RefSeq, a predicted model, not a curated record
CGUAAAGCAUUAUCCACCGUCGUGAAAUGUAGGCUCAACUUGCAACCGGGGCCUUUUCCCUGCCUUGGCCGGUUGGGAAAUGGGGUCGCCUAGCAGCUGUGGGGCGCUAUCAUUUACUCUGGACCAGGUGGCGGGAUCUAGGGUUUUGCUGUCACCGCGCUAGGGAGCGGUCAGGCUGGGCGGCGGGGCCAGGCUCGGGGGUUGCAGUAAAUGAGACACCGCUGCUGGUUGCCAGACUUGGUGUAGGUAGGUGGAUUUUGGUGAGCGGGAGCAGCGAGUUCCUUCCCAUGCAGGUUCCUUAAGCCUCAGGGUCCGGUGCAACAGUCCAGUUUCCCGACCCCUUAGUCUUUGGUCUGCAGUCCUUUUGCCUUCUUCUAGCUUCACCUGUGAUUUCCUCGGCCCAACUGCACUCAUUUCAAUCGAAGGUAAAGCACAGUGAAAUUAUUCAAGAUGGCCCCUAAUAUAAACUGGAAAGACAUCAUGAAAGUUGACCCAGAUGACCUUCCUCGUCAAGAAGAAUUGGCAGAUAAUUUAUUGAUUUCUUUAUCUAAGGUGGAAGUAAAUGAGCUAAAAAAUGAAAGUCAAGAAAAUGUGAUACACGUUUUCAGAAUUAGUCACUAAUGAAGGUUUGUAUGCAGUAGGUUUUAACAAUAGCUUUGACUAUU